Molecule: small RNA, 127 nt
Filed under: Marmota monax (woodchuck)
Lineage: Eukaryota; Metazoa; Chordata; Mammalia; Rodentia; Sciuridae
Source: RNAcentral
CCCAGGUGCAGUGGUGCACACCUGUAAUCCCAGCAGCUCAGGAGGCUGAGACAGGAGGAUUUCGAGUUCAAAAGCCAGUCUCAGCAAAAAGUGAGGCUCUAAGCAACUCAGUGAGACCCUGUCUCUA